RNAcentral lists this ribosomal RNA (407 nucleotides) under uncultured Aeromicrobium sp. Its description in RNAcentral is "bacterial SSU rRNA". It matches the Rfam family "Bacterial small subunit ribosomal RNA", at positions 355 to 774 of the family's 1533-position model. Lineage: Bacteria; Bacillati; Actinomycetota; Actinomycetes; Propionibacteriales; Nocardioidaceae. The record is from RNAcentral.
UGGGGAAUAUUGGACAAUGGGCGAAAGCCUGAUCCAGCAACGCCGCGUGAGGGAUGACGGCCUUCGGGUUGUAAACCUCUUUCAGUAGGGACGAAGCGAAAGUGACGGUACCUACAGAAGAAGGACCGGCCAACUACGUGCCAGCAGCCGCGGUAAUACGUAGGGUCCGAGCGUUGUCCGGAAUUAUUGGGCGUAAAGGGCUCGUAGGCGGUUUGUCGCGUCGGGAGUGAAAACUCAGGGCUCAACCCUGAGCGUGCUUCCGAUACGGGCAGACUAGAGGUAUGCAGGGGAGAACGGAAUUCCUGGUGUAGCGGUGGAAUGCGCAGAUAUCAGGAGGAACACCGGUGGCGAAGGCGGUUCUCUGGGCAUUACCUGACGCUGAGGAGCGAAAGCAUGGGGAGCGAACA